AACAAACGCUGGCGGCGUGCCUAACACAUGCAAGUCGUACGAGAAAGUCCGCUUCGGUGGAUGAGUAAAGUGGCGCACGGGUGAGUAACGCGUGGAUAAUCUGCCCUUCAGUUGGGAAUAACUCAUCGAAAGGUGGGCUAAUACCGAAUAAUGCUGCACAACAUAAGUUGCAAAGCCAAAGAUAGCCUCUGCUUGCAAGCUAUUGCUGAAGGAUGAGUCCGCGUACCAUUAGCUUGUUGGUAGGGUAAUGGCCUACCAAGGCGACGAUGGUUAGCUGGUCUGAGAGGAUGAUCAGCCACACUGGAACUGAGACACGGUCCAGACUCCUACGGGUGCUG
This 338-nucleotide ribosomal RNA is filed under the name uncultured Pseudomonadota bacterium. RNAcentral's name for it is "bacterial SSU rRNA". It matches the Rfam family "Bacterial small subunit ribosomal RNA", at positions 29 to 351 of the family's 1533-position model. Lineage: Bacteria; Pseudomonadati; Pseudomonadota. The record is from RNAcentral.